This 366-nucleotide ribosomal RNA is filed under the name uncultured organism. RNAcentral describes it as "bacterial LSU rRNA". It matches the Rfam family "Bacterial large subunit ribosomal RNA", at positions 2099 to 2465 of the family's 2925-position model. The record is from RNAcentral.
CUUUACUGCAACUUGACGUUGGAACUUGGCUGUAUUUGUGUAGGAUAAAUGGAAAACUUUGAAGCAGGGCCGCCAGGUCUUACGGAGUCGUCGUUGAAAUACCACCCUGGUGCUGACGAGUUUCUAACCGUGUCCGUAAGCCGGACAUGAGACAGCGUCUGGUGAGCAAUUUGACUGGGACAAUCGCCUCCUAAAAGGUAACGGAGGCAUUCAAAAAUCCCCUCAGCGUGGUCGGUAAUCACGCGCAGAGUGCAAACGCAUAAGGAAGCUUAACUGCAAGACCGACAGGUCGAGCAGAUACGAAAGUAGGAGUUAGUGAUCCCGCGGUUUAGCGUGGAAUUGCCGUUGCUCAAUGGAUAAAAGGUA